Molecule: ribosomal RNA, 495 nt
Filed under: uncultured bacterium
Lineage: Bacteria
Description: partial 16S ribosomal RNA
Rfam family: Bacterial small subunit ribosomal RNA
Source: RNAcentral
GAUGAACGCUGGCGGCGUGCCUAAUACAUGCAAGUAGAACGCUGAAGGAGGAGCUUGCUCUUCUGGAUGAGUUGCGAACGGGUGAGUAACGCGUAGGUAACCUGCCUGGUAGCGGGGGAUAACUAUUGGAAACGAUAGCUAAUACCGCAUGACAACAGUUAUUGCAUGAUAACUGUUUAAAAGGGGCAACUGCUCCACUACCAGAUGGACCUGCGUUGUAUUAGCUAGUUGGUGAGGUAACGGCUCACCAAGGCGACGAUACAUAGCCGACCGGAGAGGGUGGUCGGCCACACUGAGACGGAGACACGGCCCAGACUCCUACGGGAGGCAGCAGUAGGGAAUCUGCGGCAAUGGACGGAAGGCUGACCGAGCAACGCCGCGUGAGGGAAGAAGGUUUUCGGAUCGUAAAGCUCUGUUGUAAGAGAAGAACGAGUGUGAGAGUGGAAAGUUCACACUGUGACGGUAUCUUACCAGAAAGGGACGGCUAACUACGUG